GAUGAACGCUGGCGGCGUGCCUAAUACAUGCAAGUCGAGCGAACAGAUAAGGAGCUUGCUCCUUUGACGUUAGCGGCGGACGGGUGAGUAACACGUGGGUAACCUACCUAUAAGACUGGGAUAACUUCGGGAAACCGGAGCUAAUACCGGAUAACAUUUGGAACCGCAUGGUUCUAAAGUGAAAGAUGGUUUUGCUAUCACUUAUAGAUGGACCCGCGCCGUAUUAGCUAGUUGGUAAGGUAACGGCUUACCAAGGCAACGAUACGUAGCCGACCUGAGAGGGUGAUCGGCCACACUGGAACUGAGACACGGUCCAGACUCCUACGGGAGGCAGCAGUAGGGAAUCUUCCGCAAUGGGCGAAAGCCUGACGGAGCAACGCCGCGUGAGUGAUGAAGGGUUUCGGCUCGUAUAACUCUGUUAUUAGGGAAGAACAAACGUGUAAGUAACUGUGCACGUCUUGACGGUACCUAAUCAGAAAGCCACGGCUAACUACGUG
RNAcentral lists this ribosomal RNA (497 nucleotides) under uncultured bacterium. RNAcentral's name for it is "partial 16S ribosomal RNA". It matches the Rfam family "Bacterial small subunit ribosomal RNA", at positions 28 to 507 of the family's 1533-position model. The record is from RNAcentral.